AAUGAACGCUGGCGGCGUGCCUAACACAUGCAAGUCGUACGAGAAAUCCCGAGCUUGCUUGGGAGAGUAAAGUGGCGCACGGGUGAGUAACGCGUGGGUAACCCACCUUCGAAUCUGGGAUAACUCCGCGAAAGCGGUGCUAAUACCGGAUAAGACCACAGCCGUUUCGGCGGCAGAGGUAAAAGCUGACCUCUCCAUGGAAGUUAGCGUUCGAGGACGGGCCCGCGUCCUAUCAGCUUGUUGGUGGGGUAAUGGCCUACCAAGGCAGCGACGGGUAGCUGGUCUGAGAGGAUGAUCAGCCACACUGGAACUGGAACACGGUCCAGACUCCUACGGGAGGCAGCAGUGAGGAAUUUUGCGCAAUGGGGGAAACCCUGACGCAGCAACGCCGCGUGGGUGAAGAAGGCUUUCGGGUCGUAAAGCCCUGUCAGGUGGGAAGAACCGUUUCGAUACUAAUAAUGUCGAAGCCUGACGGUACCACCAGAGGAAGCACCGGCCAACUCCGUGCCAGCAGCCGCGGUAAUACGGAGGGUGCAAGCGUUGUUCGGAAUUAUUGGGCGUAAAGAGCGUGUAGGCGGUCCGGUAAGUCAGAUGUGAAAGCCCUGGGCUCAACCCAGGAAGUGCAUUUGAAACUACCAGACUUGAGUACGGGAGAGGAGGGGGGAAUUCCCGGUGUAGAGGUGAAAUUCGUAGAUAUCGGGAGGAAUACCAGUGGCGAAGGCGCCCCUCUGGACCGAUACUGACGCUGAGACGCGAAAGCGUGGGGAGCAAACAGGAUUAGAUACCCUGGUAGUCCACGCCGUAAACGAUGAGCACUAGGUGUAGCGGGUAUUGACCCCUGCUGUGCCGUAGCUAACGCAUUAAGUGCUCCGCCUGGGGACUACGGUCGCAAGACUAAAACUCAAAGGAAUUGACGG
This 917-nucleotide ribosomal RNA is filed under the name uncultured bacterium. RNAcentral describes it as "bacterial SSU rRNA". It matches the Rfam family "Bacterial small subunit ribosomal RNA", at positions 28 to 916 of the family's 1533-position model. The record is from RNAcentral.